This 47-nucleotide non-coding RNA is filed under the name Echinostoma caproni. The record is from RNAcentral. Lineage: Eukaryota; Metazoa; Platyhelminthes; Trematoda; Plagiorchiida; Echinostomatidae.
GCAUCACUGACGAGUCCCAAACAGGACGAAACAGCUGUGUCCAGUGU